Molecule: ribosomal RNA, 469 nt
Filed under: uncultured bacterium
Lineage: Bacteria
Description: bacterial SSU rRNA
Rfam family: Bacterial small subunit ribosomal RNA
Source: RNAcentral
AGAGUUUGAUCCUGGCUCAGAACGAACGCUGGCGGCACGCCUAACACAUGCAAGUCGAACGAAGCCUUCGGGCUUAGUGGCGGACGGGUGAGUAACGCGUGGGAACGUACCCUUGGGUAAGGAACAACAGUUGGAAACGACUGCUAAUACCUUAUGAUGUCUUCGGACCAAAGAUUUAUCGCCCAGGGAUCGGCCCGCGUUGGAUUAGGUAGUUGGUGGGGUAAUGGCCUACCAAGCCUACGAUCCAUAGCUGGUUUGAGAGGAUGAUCAGCCACACUGGGACUGAGGCACGGCCCAGACUCCUACGGGAGGCAGCAGUGGGGAAUCUUGGACAAUGGGGGCAACCCUGAUCCAGCCAUGCCGCGUGAACGAUGAAGGCCUUAGGGUUGUAAAGUUCUUUCAGCUGGGAAGAUAAUGACGGUACCAGCAGAAGAAGCCCCGGCUAACUCCGUGCCAGCAGCCCGGUAAU